RNAcentral lists this ribosomal RNA (301 nucleotides) under uncultured bacterium. Its description in RNAcentral is "partial 16S ribosomal RNA". It matches the Rfam family "Bacterial small subunit ribosomal RNA", at positions 509 to 807 of the family's 1533-position model. The record is from RNAcentral.
CAGCCGCCGCGGUAAUACGAAGGGGGCUAGCGUUGCUCGGAAUGACUGGGCGUAAAGGGCGCGUAGGCGGCGAUCAAAGUCAGGCGUGAAAUUCCUGGGCUCAACCUGGGGGCUGCGUUUGAUACUUGGUUGCUAGAGUGAGGAAGAGGGUCGUGGAAUUCCCAGUGUAGAGGUGAAAUUCGUAGAUAUUGGGAAGAACACCGGUGGCGAAGGCGGCGACCUGGUCCUUGACUGACGCUGAGGCGCGAAAGCGUAGGGAGCAAACAGGAUUAGAUACCCCAGUAGUCCCUGUCUCUUAUAC